GUGUAAUUCAAGAAGAAGACGACAACAGUAUGAAGAAAACAAACGAUUUUUUUAAGACCUAAAAUAGUUACUUUAACAAAUAUUUCCUUGAAAGAGUUUGGAAAAUGAAUGCCUACACCUGGUGGAGGCCCGGCAAGUUGACCAAGCACACCUCACCGUCUGCCACCUGGAUCACCUGGAUCCUUAUUAAGCUCCUGGAGAGACACUGAGAAGUGUCACCUCAUGAUGCUCCUCAGCUUCCUGGUCGGGACAACUUAAUGUGAUUUGGCAACAAUAACCUUCCAUGAGAGGAUAAGAAAAGGCCUUUGAAAAGCAAAAGCAGCCAGCAGGACUGGUUCCAUUCUGGACGUAAAGCUCUAUGCGGCGACAGGAUCCUAAAAGGUACAAAAAAUGAAAAGCAGUGAAACUACUUUUUACCUUUUUGUUUAUUUAACCCACAAUAUGAGGUUUUGCAAAAAUAAAAAUUAACCUACAAAUGAUGUUCAUGGAGGACAGGAGUGUCCAAAUCAAUCUCUCAAGGAGCCAAAAUCCAAAACAAACCUUAGGU
Molecule: long non-coding RNA, 547 nt
Organism: Oryzias melastigma (Indian medaka)
Lineage: Eukaryota; Metazoa; Chordata; Actinopteri; Beloniformes; Adrianichthyidae
Exons: 3
Source: RefSeq, a predicted model, not a curated record